Molecule: ribosomal RNA, 449 nt
Filed under: uncultured bacterium
Lineage: Bacteria
Description: partial 16S ribosomal RNA
Rfam family: Bacterial small subunit ribosomal RNA
Source: RNAcentral
AACGAACGCUGGCGGCAGGCCUAACACAUGCAAGUCGAACGCCCUGGCAACAGGGAGUGGCAGACGGGUGAGUAACGCGUGGGAACGUGCCCUUCGGUUCGGAAUAACUCAGGGAAACUUGAGCUAAUACCGGAUACGUGCGAGAGCAGAAAGAUUUAUCGCCGAAGGAUCGGCCCGCGUCCGAUUAGCUAGUUGGUGAGGUAACGGCUCACCAAGGCGACGAUCGGUAGCUGGUCUGAGAGGAUGAUCAGCCACACUGGGACUGAGACACGGCCCAGAGUCCUAGGGGAGGCAGCAGUGGGGAAUAUUGGACAAUGGGCGCAAGCCUGAUCCAGCCAUGCCGCGUGAGUGAUGAAGGCCCUAGGGUUGUAAAGCUCUUUCGCCAGGGACGAUAAUGACGGUACCUGGAGAAUAAGCCCCGGCAAACUUCGUGCCAGCAGCCGCCGCCG